GGGGAAUAUUGGACAAUGGGGGCAACCCUGAUCCAGCAAUGCCGCGUGUGUGAAGAAGGUCUUCGGAUUGUAAAGCACUUUCGACGGGGACGAUGAUGACGGUACCCGUAGAAGAAGCCCCGGCUAACUUCGUGCCAGCAGCCGCGGUAAUACGAAGGGGGCUAGCGUUGCUCGGAAUGACUGGGCGUAAAGGGCGUGUAGGCGGUUUACACAGUCAGAUGUGAAAUCCCCGGGCUUAACCUGGGAGCUGCAUUUGAUACGUGUAGACUAGAGUGUGAGAGAGGGUUGUGGAAUUCCCAGUGUAGAGGUGAAAUUCGUAGAUAUUGGGAAGAACACCGGUGGCGAAGGCGGCAACCUGGCUCAUGACUGACGCUGAGGCGCGAAAGCGUGGGGAGCAAACAGGAUUAGAUACCCUGGUAGUCCACGCUGUAAACGAUGUGUGCUAGAUGUUGGGUAACUUUGUUA
RNAcentral lists this ribosomal RNA (465 nucleotides) under uncultured bacterium. RNAcentral's name for it is "partial 16S ribosomal RNA". It matches the Rfam family "Bacterial small subunit ribosomal RNA", at positions 356 to 838 of the family's 1533-position model. The record is from RNAcentral.